AGAGUUUGAUCAUGGCUCAGAGUGAACGCUGGCGGCAGGCCUAAUACAUGCAAGUCGAACGGCAGCACAGCAGAGCUUGCUCUGUGGGUGGCGAGUGGCGGACGGGUGAGGAAUACGUGGGAAUCUGCCCAGUCGUGGGGGAUAACGUAGGGAAACUUACGCUAAUACCGCAUGCGCCCUUCGGGGAAAGCCGGGGACCUUCGGGGCCUGGCGCGAUUGGAUGAGCCCACGUCGGAUUAGCUAGUUGGCGGGGUAAAGGCCCACCAAGGCGACGAUCCGUAGCUGGUCUGAGAGGAUGAUCAGCCACACUGGAACUGAGACAUGGUCCAGACUCCUACGGGAGGCAGCAGUAGGGAAUAUUGGACAAUGGGCGCAAGCCUGAUCCAGCCAUGCCGCGUGAGUGAAGAAGGCCCUCGGGUUGUAAAGCUCUUUUGUCCGGAAAGAAAAGCGCCGGGUUAAUACCCUGGUGUCCUGACGGUACCGGAAGAAUAAGCACCGGCUAACUUCGUG
Molecule: ribosomal RNA, 510 nt
Filed under: uncultured bacterium
Lineage: Bacteria
Description: bacterial SSU rRNA
Rfam family: Bacterial small subunit ribosomal RNA
Source: RNAcentral